CAGAUUUAGGGGGCAGGGUGCCCACCCCCUCCCUUUUUUGUGGGAAAAAUUGUUUGAUUAUAUAGGGAAUCACUGAAGCAUGACUGGAGCAGGUCCCCUCUUAGGCAGUCAGUAUGCCCCUCUUACAUAUAAAAAAAACUGUAUCUGCCACUUUUACAUGUAAAUGACAAUACAACACUGUUUUAAAAGAGUGUCUUGAAAAGAG
RNAcentral lists this long non-coding RNA (205 nucleotides) under Mytilus galloprovincialis (Mediterranean mussel). The record is from RNAcentral. Lineage: Eukaryota; Metazoa; Mollusca; Bivalvia; Mytilida; Mytilidae.